Daphnia pulex (common water flea) is the source of this 72-nucleotide non-coding RNA. The record is from Rfam. Lineage: Eukaryota; Metazoa; Arthropoda; Branchiopoda; Diplostraca; Daphniidae.
GGGGUUGUAACUCAGUGGUAGAGUGUUCGCUUCGCAUGCGAAGAGCCCGGAGUUCAAUCCUCCGCGACUCCA